GGGAGUAUAGUUUAAUGGCAAAACAACGGAUUCCAAACCCGUUGAUGUGGGUUCGAUUCCUACUACUCUCGCCA
Molecule: transfer RNA, 74 nt
Filed under: Mycoplasma marinum
Lineage: Bacteria; Bacillati; Mycoplasmatota; Mollicutes; Mycoplasmatales; Mycoplasmataceae
Description: tRNA-Trp
Rfam family: tRNA
About the family: Transfer RNA (tRNA) molecules are approximately 80 nucleotides in length. Their secondary structure includes four short double-helical elements and three loops (D, anti-codon, and T loops).
Source: RNAcentral